CGCUGAUGCCCUUCCUGGGCGUUUCCUCCCUGUAAACUUAGCCGCGCUCGAGCAGCGCGGCUUUUUUUUGCUUGAAU
Molecule: small RNA, 77 nt
Filed under: Asticcacaulis sp. AC466
Lineage: Bacteria; Pseudomonadati; Pseudomonadota; Alphaproteobacteria; Caulobacterales; Caulobacteraceae
Description: Makes More Granules Regulator RNA (mmgR)
Rfam family: Makes More Granules Regulator RNA (mmgR)
About the family: SuhB later renamed mmgR (makes more granules regulator) was a putative non-coding RNA found multiple times in the Agrobacterium tumefaciens genome and related alpha-proteobacteria. Other non-coding RNAs uncovered in the same analysis include: speF, ybhL, metA, and serC.
Source: Rfam by way of RNAcentral